CCUUACUGCUCAGUAACACGUAGUCAACCUGCCCUCGGGACGAGAACAAUCUCGGGAAACUGAGGCUAAUUCUUGAUAGGUCAAGAUUCCUGGAAUGGGUUUUGACCCAAAGGGCGUGGCAGCAUCUUGCCAUUUUCGCCCGAGGAUGGGACUGCGGCCGAUCAGGCUGUUGGUGGGGUAAAGGCCCACCAAACCAGUAACCGGUACGGGCUUUGAGAGAAGGAGCCCGGAGAUGGACACUGAGACAAGGGUCCAGGUCCUACGGGGCGCAGCGGGCGCGAAACCUUCGCAAUGUGCGAAAGCACGACGAGGUUAUUCCGAGUGAUCUCCGCUGAGGAGAUCUUUUCUCAGAUCUAAAACGUCUGGGGAAUAAGGGGAGGGCAAGUCUGGUGUCAGCCGCCGCGGUAAUACCAGCUCCUCGAGUGGUCAGGGCGUUUAUUGGGCCUAAAGCAUCCGUAGCCGGCUCAGUUGGUCUCCUGUUAAAUCCAACGGCUCAACCGUUGGUCUGCAGGAGAUACCGCUGGGCUAGGAGGCGGGAGAGGCGGACGGUACUCCGAGGGUAGGGGUAAAAUCCUUUGAUCCCCGGAAGACCACCAGUGGCGAAGGCGGUCCGCCAGAACGCGCUCGACGGUGAGGGAUGAAAGCUGGGGGAGCGAACCGGAUUAGAUACCCGGGUAGUCCCAGCUGUAAACGAUGCGAGCUAGGUGACACGACGCCUUCGGGGCGUCGUGGUGCCGCAGGGAAGCCGUUAAGCUCGCCGCCUGGGGAGUACGGACGCAAGUCUGAAACUUAAAGGAAUUGGCGGGGGAGCACAAGG
Molecule: ribosomal RNA, 817 nt
Filed under: uncultured archaeon
Lineage: Archaea
Description: bacterial SSU rRNA
Rfam family: Archaeal small subunit ribosomal RNA
Source: RNAcentral